RNAcentral lists this ribosomal RNA (253 nucleotides) under uncultured bacterium. RNAcentral's name for it is "partial 16S ribosomal RNA". It matches the Rfam family "Bacterial small subunit ribosomal RNA", at positions 524 to 776 of the family's 1533-position model. The record is from RNAcentral.
UACAGGGGGUGCAAACGUUGCUCGGAAUCAUUGGGCGUAAAGCGCGCGUAGGCGGUUACUUAAGUCGGAUGUGAAAGCCCUCGGCUCAACUGAGGAAGUGCAUCCGAAACUGAGUAGCUUGAGUACGAAAGAGGGUCGCGGAAUUCCCGGUGUAGAGGUGAAAUUCGUAGAUAUCGGGAGGAACACCGGUGGCGAAGGCGGCUACCUGGCCUGUUCUUGACGCUGAGGCGCGAAAGCUAGGGGAGCAAACGGG